GCAGACUGGUCUUUAAUUGGCACAGCCUCUACCCAUUUAGUGAACCAAUCACUUAUUACUAGGAUAUACUUAAAACCAUCUUUGGUUUCAGGAAGUGGUCCAGUAACAUCCACGCAGACCUUCUCCAUUGCAUUGUAUACUGGAUUUUGCCCUAGUGGAGCCCUGACCUUGGGUGCUGGUUUCCGAGCAGCACAAACAUCACAUUGGUGGAUGUACUUUUGAAGGUCAUCUUUCAACGCUGGCCAAUAACAACACUGCAGAAUACGAAAGAGGCAUUUUUCUAAACCAAGGUGGCCCGCUGAAGUCUGGAUUACACCCGAGACGAGCUGCACAGGCUGAUUUUGAGCGACUGGUUCAACUAAGGCUACUGGUGACAAGUGUUCCUGACUAGGGAUUUUUACAGACACCCACAUGCUGCUAUGUGCCGUUGAGUUGCUUGAUGGCUGCUGCUGGGCCUUUUUUGUUGCCAUCAACGAAGACCCUACUGGGUUGACGGCCUGCCGUUUUCCGGUAAACCUACGACAGUCGGCUGUGUGUACGGUGCCUGGUGAGGUGCUGGAUA
Dreissena polymorpha is the source of this 562-nucleotide long non-coding RNA. RefSeq lists it as uncharacterized. The record is from RefSeq and is a predicted model, not a curated record. Lineage: Eukaryota; Metazoa; Mollusca; Bivalvia; Myida; Dreissenidae. The transcript is spliced from 3 exons.